UGGCUCAGUUGGAAGAGCACGGGACUCUUGAUCUCAGGGUUGUGGGUUCGAGCCCCAC
This 58-nucleotide transfer RNA is filed under the name Felis catus (domestic cat). It matches the Rfam family "tRNA", at positions 8 to 63 of the family's 71-position model. Rfam says of the family: Transfer RNA (tRNA) molecules are approximately 80 nucleotides in length. Their secondary structure includes four short double-helical elements and three loops (D, anti-codon, and T loops). RNAcentral also lists the same sequence under 4 other names. The record is from Rfam by way of RNAcentral. Lineage: Eukaryota; Metazoa; Chordata; Mammalia; Carnivora; Felidae.